This 1470-nucleotide long non-coding RNA is filed under the name Homo sapiens (human). RNAcentral's name for it is "HSALNT0073041". The record is from RNAcentral. Lineage: Eukaryota; Metazoa; Chordata; Mammalia; Primates; Hominidae.
UUUUUUUUUUUUUCUUGAGACAGAGUCUCGCCCUGUCGCCCAGACUGGAGUGCAAUGGCGUAAUCUCGGCUCACUGCAAUCUCCAUCUCCCUGAUUUAAAUGAUUGUCCUGGCUCAGCCUCCUGAGUAGUUGGGAUUACAGGCACCUGCCACCAUGCCUAGCUAAUUUUUAUAUUUUUAGUAGAAACGGGGCUUCACCAUGUUGGCCAGGCUGGCCUUGAACCCCUGACCUCGUGAUCUGCCCACCUCGGCCUCCCAAAGUGCUGGGAUUCCAGGAGUGAAUCAUCAUGCCCGGCCUUGCCUUUAUAUUCCAAGACUUACACAAGUACCAAGUCUCUCCUGGAUGUUCACACCUUUGGCUUUGGACUGAGAGUUACAUCUUCAACUUCUUUCGUUCUGAGGACUUUGGACUUGGACUGAGCUACACUACCAGCAUCUCAUCCUCCACCUUGCAGGAAAUCUGUUGCAGGUCUUCUCAACCACCAUAAUCAGAACUACCCUGGAAGCUCCCUCAAAGAAUACAUCCUGGUUUGACUAUCCUAAACUGUUGGAAGUGCAUUAAAUUGUAAAUGACUGCUGAAUGUCAUUCCUUGCCAGUUGCUUCUGACCAUGAUUUGAUAGAUAUUCCACCUCAUCUUAGACAUCUAUUAGAAACAGUAGACCAUGAUCCUAUUUCUUACAUCUCCGUGUAAAAUAGCUGUUGGACUCUCUGAGUAUCUACCCCAUCUGCAUUACCACGACAGUCACUCGGUCAUUCCAAGGAUAGACAAAUGUUGUCCAGUGAGUGUCUGGAUAACACAGGGUAGAUUGAUGGCCUUUAGGCAGUUUUUUUUUUUUUUUAAAUCAAGCACUAAAUGUAAUUAUUCUAACUUAAUUGGAAACUCUAAGGUUUACCAGCCAGAGAGAGGCCAUGUUCACUGUGCCAUCAACUAGUACUUCCUGAGUGAUGUAGGUAUACUCGGUAGAUCUCCAACAUAAUUAACUUUCCCUUUAGGGACACCAUAUACAUCCCUGCGGCUGUACUUACGGGAAGCCAGAAAUUAAGUUGCUUCCCUCCCAGAAACAUGGUAAUUGCACCUAAGGGGUGAUAGCGUGAUAGUGAAAGACUUUUAAUUGUUUAAGAAAACACGACAGUAGAUUAUGUAGCCUUCAAAUAAAUGCUUAGAUAGCUAAAAAAUGAGGUUAUGCUUGGUUACUUGGUGCAUUUGGCUGAAUGAUGACCCCCCUUCCCCAAAUAUAUAUCCAUAUUCUGAUACUUAGAGCCUGUGAAUGCCACAUUAUUUUCUGAUAAAACGGGUCUUGGCAGAUGCUUGAGAUAAGGAUAUCAUUUGUAUUAUCUAUGUGAGCCCUAAAUGAUUAAUGACAAGGGUUCUUAUAAAAGAGAGGUGGAAAAAUAUUCGAGAGACAGAAAGGAGAAGGUAAUGUGACCACAGAGACAGAGAUAGCGGUGAGUCCACUGCAAGCCAAAGAA